This 1366-nucleotide ribosomal RNA is filed under the name Anterhynchium abdominale. Its description in RNAcentral is "16S ribosomal RNA". The record is from RNAcentral. Lineage: Eukaryota; Metazoa; Arthropoda; Insecta; Hymenoptera; Vespidae.
UUUUAAAUGUUAAUUUAAUUAUUUUGAUUGAAUAUUUUUAAUGAAUAGAGUAAUAAAUUAGUUAUUAAGUUUUAGUAAUAAUUUUGAAUUAAUUUUUUAUAUUAUAAUAUUUGUAAAGAAAUUGAUGAUAAAAAAAAAUUUAUAAGUAAAUUUAAAAAAUUGUACCUUUUGUAUCAGGAAUUAUUAAUAAAUUUAUUUAAAUAGAAUAUAUCUCGAAUUUUAAAGAUCUAAGUUAUAAUGUUAGUUAUUGUGGAAUAAUUAUUAAUAAUUUUAAUUUAGUAGUGAAAUGUUUUCGAUUUAAAAGAUAUCUAGUUUUUUUAGAAUUGAAUUAAAUUCAGUAUUUAAUAUAUUAUUUUUGUAUAUUUUGUUUAAUAUAAAUUUAUAUUUAAAUAUAAUUAUUUUUGGGAUUAACUUGAAAUAAUUUUAAUAAUUUGUAAUUAUUAUAGUUUAUAAAUAUUUAUAGAAAUAGAAAUUUUUAAAAAGUAUUUUAUAAUUUAUAAAUUAGUAUAAAAUAAUUUAAAUUAAAAUUUUAAAUUUAUAUAUAAAAAAUAUUAUAAUUAUUAUUUAUAAAGUUAUAAUGAUAAUAUUAGUAAAAUUUAAUGUUAGAGAAGUUUUAUUUAUUAUAGUUAAUAUUAAAUAAUUCGACAAAAAUGUUAUUCACCUGUUUAACAAAAACAUGGUUUAUAGAUUUUAAUUAUAAAUCGGUUUCUGCCCAAUGAAUUUUUAAAUGGCUGCGGUAUACUGACCGUACAAAGGUAGCAAAAUCAAUAGUUUUUUAAUUGAAAACUGGAAUGAAAGAUCUGAUGAAAUAACAAUUGUUUCAAUGUUAUAAGUUGAAAUUAAAUUUUGAGUUAAAAUGCUUAAAUUUAUUUAUUAGACGAGAAGACCCUAUAGAAUUUUAUAAAAUUUAUUUAUAGGAAUUUUUAUAUAAAAUAAAUUUUUAUAGAUAUUUAUAUUUAGUUGGGAGGAUUAUAAAAUUUAAUUAACUUUUAUUAGUAAGUUACAUAGAUUAAUGAAAAUUUUGAUUAUUAUUAUAAUUAUAAGAAAAAAUUACCUUAGGGAUAACAGCGUAAUAUUUUUGGAGAGAUCAAAUUGAUAAAAAUGUUUGCGACCUCGAUGUUGAAUUAUGAUAUAAUUUAGGUGUAGAAGUUUAAAUUGUUAGUCUGUUCGACUAUUAAAAUCAUACAUGAUUUGAGUUCAGAUCGGUGUAAGCCAGAUCGGUUUCUAUCUUUAAAUAAAGAAAAUUUUUUUGUACGAAAGGACUAAAAAUUUAAAAUAAUUUUUUGUAAAAUAUGAAUUAAAUUAAUUUAUUAUAUUUUAAAUUAUAAUUUUAUUAUAAUUAUUUAAUAUAUAAUUAGAUAUUGAU